This 253-nucleotide ribosomal RNA is filed under the name uncultured bacterium. RNAcentral describes it as "partial 16S ribosomal RNA". It matches the Rfam family "Bacterial small subunit ribosomal RNA", at positions 524 to 776 of the family's 1533-position model. The record is from RNAcentral.
UACGGAGGGUGCGAGCGUUGUCCGGAAUCACUGGGCGUAAAGGGCGCGUAGGCGGCCUGAUAAGUAGGGGGUGAAAUCCUGCGGCUUAACCGCAGGGCUGCCUUCUAAACUGUCAGGCUAGAGCACAGUAGAGGCAGGUGGAAUUCCCGGUGUAGCGGUGGAAUGCGUAGAGAUCGGGAAGAACACCAGUGGCGAAGGCGGCCUGCUGGGCUGUUGCUGACGCUGAGGCGCGACAGCGUGGGGAGCAAACAGG